RNAcentral lists this ribosomal RNA (464 nucleotides) under uncultured bacterium. RNAcentral's name for it is "partial 16S ribosomal RNA". It matches the Rfam family "Bacterial small subunit ribosomal RNA", at positions 339 to 795 of the family's 1533-position model. The record is from RNAcentral.
CUACGGGCUGCACCAGUGGGGAAUAUUGCACAAUGGGCGCAAGCCUGAUGCAGCCAUGCCGCGUGUAUGAAGAAGGCCUUCGGGUUGUAAAGUACUUUCAGCGGGGAGGAAGGGAGUAAAGUUAAUACCUUUGCUCAUUGACGUUACCCGCAGAAGAAGCACCGGCUAACUCCGUGCCAGCAGCCGCGGUAAUACGGAGGGUGCAAGCGUUAAUCGGAAUUACUGGGCGUAAAGCGCACGCAGGCGGUUUGUUAAGUCAGAUGUGAAAUCCCCGGGCUCAACCUGGGAACUGCAUCUGAUACUGGCAAGCUUGAGUCUCGUAGAAGGGGGUAGAAUUCCAGGUGUAGCGGUGAAAUGCGUAGAGAUCUGGAGGAAUACCGGUGGCGAAGGCGGCCCCCUGGACGAAGACUGACGCUCAGGUGCGAAAGCGUGGGGAGCAAACAGGAUUAGAUACCCUCGUAGUC